RNAcentral lists this small RNA (73 nucleotides) under Xanthomonas vesicatoria. RNAcentral's name for it is "sX9". It matches the Rfam family "Xanthomonas sRNA sX9". The record is from RNAcentral. Lineage: Bacteria; Pseudomonadati; Pseudomonadota; Gammaproteobacteria; Lysobacterales; Lysobacteraceae.
CGGUUCCGAACACUCCGGUUCCGAAUGCGUCGUCCACGCCCACCUGACGACUGCUUGCUACGUUCUGUUAGCC